This 355-nucleotide transfer-messenger RNA is filed under the name Rubrobacteraceae. RNAcentral's name for it is "Rubrobacter_A sp013695915 Standard tmRNA". It matches the Rfam family "transfer-messenger RNA". From Rfam's summary of the family: Bacterial tmRNA, also known as 10Sa RNA or SsrA, is named for its dual tRNA and mRNA-like properties. Its role is to liberate the mRNA from a stalled ribosome. The record is from RNAcentral. RNAcentral also lists the same sequence under 1 other name. Lineage: Bacteria; Bacillati; Actinomycetota; Rubrobacteria; Rubrobacterales.
GGGGGCGCACUGGCUUCGACGGGAGUGGUCAGCGUCCUGUGAGACGAGCCGAGUUUACUGGAGACUCGUAAAACGCCGGUACCAAAACACACACGCCAAUGAUAGAGAGUUGGUGGCCGCCUAACUAAAGGUGGCUCGUCGGCCCGGGUAGCCUACGACCCGGUGUCCGGCGUCGCUUAGUAGGCUCCACCUCCUGAGUCCUGGUCCCGGGGCUCUUGAGGGAAACGCAACGGGCUAGCCGCUCUGCGACGCCCCGGUUCGCAGAGUCCGGCGAAAACAAACCGGGUGCGACGCUCGUACAAUCUCACGGACGACGCGCUCGCGGACGCGGGUUCAAUUCCCGCCGCCUCCACUA